This 92-nucleotide non-coding RNA is filed under the name Gammaproteobacteria bacterium. RNAcentral's name for it is "Glycine sequence". It matches the Rfam family "Glycine riboswitch aptamer". From Rfam's summary of the family: This family represents the bacterial glycine riboswitch. Glycine riboswitches usually consist of two metabolite-binding aptamers domains with similar structures in tandem. The aptamers cooperatively bind glycine to regulate the expression of downstream genes. The record is from RNAcentral. Lineage: Bacteria; Pseudomonadati; Pseudomonadota; Gammaproteobacteria.
CAGGUUGACUCUGGAGAGCGGUCGUCAGACCCACCGACGGGGCAGAGCCGAUUUCGGCUUUAAACUCUCAGGUUUUGGACAGAGGGGCGGCA